UAUGAAAGCAAGUGAAUAUUGCUUUAGAAUACAUGUGGUUUAACCAAGACCGUGUCAGCCGAUCAUAGAUGUCCCUGGUGGUCUCCUGCUAACACCUUUCCCACUACCAGCAGGUCUAUGGGGCAGCAGAUACCCUACAAUGCAUUACAAUGAUGAGACCAACUCAAAGCCUCAAAGCCUUGGGCCUGGACUGCUUCCUAGACAGCUCUCUGGCUUGCUCCCUCCUUCACACUUUGACCUCAUGGCACCAAUGGUUGUACCACCUGACACUCUACCCUACUGAGGCCAUUUGCCCAGAUUGGAUUUGCAAUACAUAGAUUUUUUCAGCAUUAAAAAACUUCAGCAUUAAAAAUGUAUUAAAAGAU
Long non-coding RNA from Oncorhynchus kisutch (coho salmon), 365 nucleotides. RefSeq lists it as uncharacterized. NCBI's taxonomy places the organism in Eukaryota, Metazoa, Chordata, Actinopteri, Salmoniformes, Salmonidae. The transcript has 2 exons. The record is from RefSeq and is a predicted model, not a curated record.